RNAcentral lists this transfer RNA (72 nucleotides) under Camelus bactrianus (Bactrian camel). It matches the Rfam family "tRNA". Rfam says of the family: Transfer RNA (tRNA) molecules are approximately 80 nucleotides in length. Their secondary structure includes four short double-helical elements and three loops (D, anti-codon, and T loops). Further hydrogen bonds mediate the characteristic L-shaped molecular structure. tRNAs have two regions of fundamental functional importance: the anti-codon, which is responsible for specific mRNA codon recognition, and the 3' end, to which the tRNAs corresponding amino acid is attached (by aminoacyl-tRNA synthetases). tRNAs cope with the degeneracy of the genetic code in two manners: having more than one tRNA (with a specific anti-codon) for a particular amino acid; and 'wobble' base-pairing, i.e. permitting non-standard base-pairing at the 3rd anti-codon position. The record is from Rfam by way of RNAcentral. Lineage: Eukaryota; Metazoa; Chordata; Mammalia; Artiodactyla; Camelidae. RNAcentral also lists the same sequence under 1 other name.
UGGGGUAUACCUCAGUGGUAGAGCAUAUGCUUAGCAUGUAUGAGGUCCUGGGUUCAAUCCCCAGUACCUCCA